This 24-nucleotide non-coding RNA is filed under the name Arabidopsis thaliana (thale cress). The record is from RNAcentral. Lineage: Eukaryota; Viridiplantae; Streptophyta; Magnoliopsida; Brassicales; Brassicaceae.
GUAAAAACCUUGUAGAAAGAAGUA